RNAcentral lists this long non-coding RNA (3334 nucleotides) under Lupinus angustifolius (narrow-leaved blue lupine). RNAcentral's name for it is "long non-coding RNA (LANG_LNC002806)". Lineage: Eukaryota; Viridiplantae; Streptophyta; Magnoliopsida; Fabales; Fabaceae. The record is from RNAcentral.
AAAUUUCUUAUCUGUCACAAAAAUAAACAUUAUAAGAUAAACUAAAAUGGGUGUCCUUUCUCUUAGGAAAAUAAGUUUACUAUUAUUUCCUAUUGUUUUGUUACUUUCGUUCCUAUGGUCAGCUUCAGCUGCAAAUUCAUCUAACAAUACUUUUGUUCAUUGCCUUGUAAACCAUUCAAAUCCCUCUCAUCCCAUAACUUCAGCAAUUUUCACACCAAAAAAUACAUCAUUCUCUUCAGUUUUGCAAGCCUACAUUAGAAACCUUCGUUUCAACACCUCCACUACAAGAAAACCCUACCUGAUAAUCACUGCAUUGCAUGUGUCACAUGUACAAACAGCAGUUGUUUGUGCUCAAAAGCACAACUUACAAAAUUAAAAGUCAAGAUUCACUCCCUAUAAGUUACAAAGAGAUAAUAAUCAUGUACCCCAAAUUGAAUACUUUCUUACUCAUAAAGGAUAUAUUUAAUUAACACUCAAAAUAUAUAACAAUUAGUGUGUUGCAUGGGGUAAAAAACAGUACUAUGUUUACACAUUUAUAAGGGUUAAGUUGUUUUACAGGAACCAAGAAAAUCAUUUAUUUUUUGCUUCUAACAAAGUUGUUACCAAUUUCCCUAAUAUAUCAUUCUCAGCCAGCUUCUUCAUUUUACUCUAUUGUUAUCUUGUCAUUCUCGAGAAGAAUAAGGAUAAGAACAAUUUUCAUUUAGAAAAAUUACAUUUAUAAUGGAGGGAUGGAGAAUUAACAGUUUUAAAAUUUUCAUUCAAUAACUAAUGUUUUAAAUAGCUAAAAUAAAGUCUAACUCCUUGGAGCAGAAGUUAUUGAGAAACAAAAUUACAUAUUUGAAAAAGAUUAAUUCUUUAUUAAAAAAGGUGAUACGAUACUUACCAAAGCAUUGCUAAAAGUCUAAAACCAUAAAGGAAGAUUUGUUAAGACUCGAGAGAGUAUCCCAUUACUCGUUUCAAAAUUAGACGCAUUGAAAUAUUUAAAAGAUAUCCUUAAAGUGUAAGCAUGACCAAAAUAUGUAGAAUAUCAAUUGCAAACGAUUACUAUCACGUUGAAUAAUUAUAUAUAUAAUUGUUGAUGACGUGUUUGAUUAAGUCAACUUUUCUAAUCACAAUCUCAAUGUCAACCCGCAGACUAAAUUUAUGCAUACUACUGAAAGAUAUUCAACGUACAUAUUAUUUGAAUAAUGAAUCCUUCAAACUAUUUAUGUGUACACAAUGGAUAAUAGCUUAGACAAUUGAUUUGAUCACGAAAAUUAUAUUAUGAUAAAAGCAAGUCUAAUAGAUUUUUUUGGUACUAUCAAAUUUGAUAGUUUGAUAGACCAACAUCUUAUUGGUAACAAGUUUAAAAGACUGAAUUUAUAUUUAAAUAUAUUAUGGUUAAGAUGUUACUAUCGGCAAAGCCCUAAACUUCGUUGUUUAACUUAUUUUUAGAUUAAUAUCCAGUCCUACAAGUUUUUUUGUUUUAAUUAAGUUUUCGAUAUCAUCUAUUGAAUUGUUUCCCUUAAUUACAAUAAAAAUGCAUUAUCAGUGUACAGAUUUAUACACAUAUAUUAAAUCAUCAACCAUUCUUUUGUAUUAUGUUUUUUAAUAUUUAAUAAUAAUUAAAAAUGAAUGGUGAAUAAUAAACUGUCUGUGUAUAAAACUUGUACAAGUUUAUUUUAUGUUUAUUUUAGGUGGUGUGGGACAAAAAAGAUAUAAAAGAUAAAAAAAUAUUUAUGAAUAUCUAGCAUAAAAAAUAAUUUUACAUUUAUUUGAGUUUCAAGUAAUUGAUAUAAUUUGAUGGGGUUUUAAUGAGUAGAAAUGAGAUAUGAAUUAUUGAAAACUCUUAUAAAAAAACAACUUAAAGUAGAUUUAUGUUGGUACAAUAAAAGCAAUUGACUUUUGUGAAGUUUUGACUAUAAACAAUAAAAUAAAAUAAAAUAGCAGAAAAUAAAAAGAAGAGAAGAUGACAAAAAGAUUUGUUAAUGAGAAAUAUUUUUCUACCUAAAACUAUAUAGCAUUUACUUUUUAUUGCUCAUGGGUAUACAUAUAUAGGAGUGAAAUUUAAUCUUGUAAGACAUAUAAAUAAAAAUAAGUUUUUUGUUAUAAAUAAAGUAAUCAAACAAUAUUAGGAUAUAAAAUGGUUCAUACAAUUAAUGAAGGUGGGUACCAUAUAUUGUAGACAGACUGAAUACUAACACAUUCCAACAAUUGACGUAAAGAGAGUUUUCUAUUCUUUGUAAGUAAAACAUGAUAAUUUUUCUAUAAUUUUUUAAUUUAUAAUAGAAUUUUCAGUUAAUUUAUAGUAAUAUAAAAAUUAUAAAUCUAUUUAAUAAUAUUAAUAUUAGGUUAUGAUUAAGAUUUUAUUUUAUAAAAUUUAAACCCAUUUCUUUUCUUGAUUGGGGGCGAUUCUUAUAAAUUAUAUAAUCAGUAUUCAAUUGAAAAUAGGGUCACGGAAAUUAUCCUAAAAUAAAAUGUCUUUGUGAAGGACAUUAACUAAUACCUUCCAGAAUAGUCCCUAUCAUCAACUUAUAUUGUUAAAACUUAAAAGUUCAGUUCACGUCUGAAAGAAUUAAACUCAAAUUGUAACCCAUGUAUAUAUGUAUAAUGUAUGACUAAGAAAUAAACAAAAUAAUGUAGAAACAUGACUGAUCAACGUGUGUUCUAUUAGUUUUUCCUCCGAAACCCACUGCUCCAGUAGCCAACCGCACUAUGAGAUGUAAACCUUAUUUAAAAUAAUGUGGGGACAAACCGUGCAUCUUGAAAGGAUUCAGAGCUAGAAGAUAUUGACUAUCAUAUUUUACAAGGUCUAAGUUAUGUUAGGUUAUCCAUAUUUACUUUGAAAAUUCUUUGGUCAAAUUUUGAGAUAACCUAAACCGAAUUCUCAUUUCAUUCUUUAAUAAUUUGUAUUUCCAAUGAACCAUUAUAAAUUCCAAUGUAGAUCAUGCCCAACAUUAAUCACUAAAAAUUUCUUAUCUGUCACAAAAAUAAACAUUAUAAGAUAAACUAAAAUGGGUGUCCUUUCUCUUAGGAAAAUAAGUUUACUAUUAUUUCCUAUUGUUUUGUUACUUUCGUUCCUAUGGUCAGCUUCAGCUGCAAAUUCAUCUAACAAUACUUUUGUUCAUUGCCUUGUAAACCAUUCAAAUCCCUCUCAUCCCAUAACUUCAGCAAUUUUCACACCAAAAAAUACAUCAUUCUCUUCAGUUUUGCAAGCCUACAUUAGAAACCUUCGUUUCAACACCUCCACUACAAGAAAACCCUACCUGAUAAUCACUGCAUUGCAUGUGUCACAUGUACAAACAGCAGUUGUUUGUGCUCAAAAGCACAACUUACAGAUGAAAAUCAGAAGUGG